Myotis brandtii (Brandt's bat) is the source of this 638-nucleotide long non-coding RNA. RefSeq lists it as uncharacterized. NCBI's taxonomy places the organism in Eukaryota, Metazoa, Chordata, Mammalia, Chiroptera, Vespertilionidae. The record is from RefSeq and is a predicted model, not a curated record. The transcript has 2 exons.
CCGCGGGGCCCCCCCGGGUGGGGGGUAGCACGGAGGAUCUCUUUCUGUCGCAGGGAUGACCUCGGCCCUGGCUUCUUGAGGAUGAGCUCUUUCUAGGAGGGAAGAUCUCACUGUGCUGAUCACAGAGGCCUGACCCCCGUCUCCCCUUAAGGCUCGCUGAUCCGGGGCUGGGAGCUGUGGGGGGUGGUCAGCCGGGCCCCAUCACCAGCUGGUGGACAUAGGCAGCCUUUAGGCAUGUCCGGCCUGCUUUCAGGGGUGUGCAUGGGGGACUCAUCAGUGUCCUCCCCCACCUCCGAGAGCUGAUGGCGGGUGGCCUUAUCUCUGGCCUUUAGUAUCACCAGGUCACAGAGUGAUCUCGGUGAGGUGAGGUGUUCAGUCCGUCGCUGGGCCUCAUCCUUCUUCCUUUAUGUCCCGAGCCAAUCAAUCCAGUCCUGUCGGUUUCACUUGUAAAUCUCUCUCAGGUCAGUCUACUUCUCCCCAUCUCCACGGCUACCUCCCUGGGCCGAGCCAGCCUCUCACCUGGCCUGCCACGGCCACCUGACUCAGUGCAGCUCAUAGUGAUUACGGCCCAGAUGUUUGCUGGGCCACAGUGCAGACCACUGGAAAAUCGUGCUAAUAUAAACAUCGGCUAAACUAAA